UGGGGAAUUUUGCACAAUAGGGGAAACCCUGAUGCAGCGACGCCGCGUGAUUUAGAAGGCCUUCGGGUUGUAAAAAUCUUUUGUAUGGGAAGAAAAUGACAGUACCAUACGAAUAAGGACCGGCUAAUUACGUGCCAGCAGCCGCGGUAAUACGUAAGGUCCGAGCGUUGUCCGGAAUCAUUGGGCGUAAAGGGUACGUAGGCGGAUAAGCAAGUUAGAAGUGAAAUCCUAUAGCUCAACUAUAGUAAGCUUUUAAAACUGCUCAUCUUGAGGUAUGGAAGGGAAAGUGGAAUUCCUAGUGUAGCGGUGAAAUGCGCCGAUAUUAGGAGGAAUCCCGGUGGCGAAGGCGACUUUCUGGCCCUCCCCUGCCGCUGUGGUACGACAGCGUUGGUAGCAAACAGG
RNAcentral lists this ribosomal RNA (402 nucleotides) under Verrucomicrobiota bacterium. RNAcentral describes it as "Verrucomicrobia bacterium partial 16S ribosomal RNA". It matches the Rfam family "Bacterial small subunit ribosomal RNA", at positions 355 to 776 of the family's 1533-position model. Lineage: Bacteria; Pseudomonadati; Verrucomicrobiota. The record is from RNAcentral.